RNAcentral lists this ribosomal RNA (253 nucleotides) under uncultured bacterium. RNAcentral's name for it is "partial 16S ribosomal RNA". It matches the Rfam family "Bacterial small subunit ribosomal RNA", at positions 524 to 776 of the family's 1533-position model. The record is from RNAcentral.
UACGGAGGGUGCAAGCGUUGUCCGGAAUCACUGGGCGUAAAGGGUGCGUAGGUGGUGAGGUAAGUCGGAUGUGAAAUCUCCGGGCUUAACCCGGAAAUGGCAUUGGAAACUACCUUGCUAGAGGAUUUGAGGGGGGAUUGGAAUACUUGGUGUAGCAGUGAAAUGCGUAGAUAUCAAGUGGAACACCAGUGGCGAAGGCGAAUCCCUGGAAAAUACCUGACACUGAGGCACGAAAGCUAGGGGAGCAAACAGG